RNAcentral lists this ribosomal RNA (301 nucleotides) under uncultured bacterium. RNAcentral describes it as "partial 16S ribosomal RNA". It matches the Rfam family "Bacterial small subunit ribosomal RNA", at positions 509 to 808 of the family's 1533-position model. The record is from RNAcentral.
CAGCCGCCGCGGGAAUACGUAGGUGGCAAGCGUUGUCCGGAAUUAUUGGGCGUAAAGCGCGCGCAGGCGGAUCAGUCAGUCCGUCUUAAAAGUUCGGGGCUCAACCCCGUGAGGGGAUGGAAACUGUAUGCCUUGAGUGCAGGAGAGGAAAGCGGAAUUCCCAGUGUAGCGGUGAAAUGCGUAGAUAUUGGGAGGAACACCAGUGGCGAAGGCGGCUUUCUGGACUGUAACUGACGCUGAGGCUCGAAAGCCAGGGGAGCGAACGGGAUUAGAGACCCCAGUAGUCCCUGUCUCUUAUACC